This 96-nucleotide Y RNA is filed under the name Propithecus coquereli (Coquerel's sifaka). RNAcentral's name for it is "Y RNA (ENSPCOG00000004193.1)". It matches the Rfam family "Y RNA". From Rfam's summary of the family: Y RNAs are components of the Ro ribonucleoprotein particle (Ro RNP), in association with Ro60 and La proteins. The Y RNAs and Ro60 and La proteins are well conserved, but the function of the Ro RNP is not known. Lineage: Eukaryota; Metazoa; Chordata; Mammalia; Primates; Indriidae. The record is from Rfam by way of RNAcentral.
GGCUGGUCCGAUGCUAGUGGGUUAUCAGAACUUAUUAACAUUAGUGUCACUAAAGUUUAUAUAAAACUCUCCACUGCUAAAUUUGACUGACUUUAA